Molecule: ribosomal RNA, 253 nt
Filed under: uncultured bacterium
Lineage: Bacteria
Description: partial 16S ribosomal RNA
Rfam family: Bacterial small subunit ribosomal RNA
Source: RNAcentral
UACGUAGGGUGCAAGCGUUGUCCGGAAUUAUUGGGCGUAAAGAGCUCGUAGGCGGCUUGUCGCGUCGACUGUGAAAUCCCGAGGCUCAACCUCGGGUCUGCAGUCGAUACGAGCAAACUAGAGUGUUGCAGGGGAGACUGGAAUUCCUGGUGUAGCGGUGAAAUGCGCAGAUAUCAGGAGGAACACCGGUGGCGAAGGCGGAUCUCUGGGCCUUACCUGACGCUGAGGCGCGAAAGCUAGGGGAGCGAACAGG